RNAcentral lists this ribosomal RNA (464 nucleotides) under uncultured bacterium. RNAcentral describes it as "bacterial SSU rRNA". It matches the Rfam family "Bacterial small subunit ribosomal RNA", at positions 62 to 515 of the family's 1533-position model. The record is from RNAcentral.
UCGAGCGGAAACGAAGAGGUGCUUGCACCUCUGGCGUCGAGCGGCGGACGGGUGAGUAAUGCUUGGGAAUAUGCCUUAUGGUGGGGGACAACAGUUGGAAACGACUGCUAAUACCGCAUGAUGUCUACGGACCAAAGUGGGGGACCUUCGGGCCUCACGCCAUAAGAUUAGCCCAAGUGGGAUUAGCUAGUUGGUGAGGUAAUGGCUCACCAAGGCGACGAUCCCUAGCUGGUUUGAGAGGAUGAUCAGCCACACUGGGACUGAGACACGGCCCAGACUCCUACGGGAGGCAGCAGUGGGGAAUAUUGCACAAUGGGCGCAAGCCUGAUGCAGCCAUGCCGCGUGUGUGAAGAAGGCCUUCGGGUUGUAAAGCACUUUCAGUAAGGAGGAAAGGUUAAGUGUUAAUAGCACUUAGCUGUGACGUUACUUACAGAAGAAGCACCGGCUAACUCCGUGCCAGCAGC